AUUGAACGCUGGCGGCAUGCUUUACACAUGCAAGUCGAACGGCAGCGCGGGGCUUGGCCUUGGGGCCAGUGGCGGACGGGUGAGUAAUGCAUCGGAACCUGCCCGGUAGUGGGGGAUAACGCCCCGAAAGGCGGGUUAAUACCGCAUACGACCUGAGGGUGAAAGUGGGGGACCGACAGGCCCCGCGCUAUUAGAUGGGCCGAUGUCGGAUUAGCUAGUUGGUGGGGUAAAGGCUUACCAAGGCGACGAUCCGUAGCUGGUCUGAGAGGACGACCAGCCACACUGGGACUGAGACACGGCCCAGACUCCUACGGGAGGCAGCAGUGGGGAAUUUUGGACAAUGGGGGCAACCCUGAUCCAGCCAUGCCGCGUGCGGGAAGAAGGCCUUCGGGUUGUAAACCGCUUUUGUUCGGGAAGAAAUCCUCUGGGCUAAUACCCCGGGGGGAUGACGGUACCGGAAGAAUAAGCACCGGCUAACUACGUG
Molecule: ribosomal RNA, 484 nt
Filed under: uncultured bacterium
Lineage: Bacteria
Description: partial 16S ribosomal RNA
Rfam family: Bacterial small subunit ribosomal RNA
Source: RNAcentral